RNAcentral lists this ribosomal RNA (508 nucleotides) under uncultured bacterium. RNAcentral's name for it is "partial 16S ribosomal RNA". It matches the Rfam family "Bacterial small subunit ribosomal RNA", at positions 29 to 523 of the family's 1533-position model. The record is from RNAcentral.
AUUGAGCGCUGGCGGCAGGCCUAACACAUGCAAGUCGAGCGGCAGCGGGAAAGUAGCUUGCUACUUUUGCCGGCGAGCGGCGGACGGGUGAGUAAUGCCUGGGAAAUUGCCCAGUCGAGGGGGAUAACAGUUGGAAACGACUGCUAAUACCGCAUACGCCCUACGGGGGAAAGCAGGGGACCUUCGGGCCUUGCGCGAUUGGAUAUGCCCAGGGGGGAUUAGCUAGUUGGAGAGGUAAUGGCUCACCAAGGCGACGGUCCCUAGCUGGGCUGGCAGGAUGAUCAGCCACACGGGAACUGAGACACGGGCCAGACUCCUACGGGGGGCAGCAGUGGGGAAUAUUGCACAAUGGGGGAAACCCUGAUGCAGCCAUGCCGCGUGUGUGAAGAAGGCCUUCGGGUUGUAAAGCACUUUCAGCGAGGAGGAAAGGUUGAUGCCUAAUACGUAUCAACUGUGACGUUACUCGCAGAAGAAGCACCGGCUAACUCCGUGCCAGCCGCCGCGGUAA